ACACCUGUGCACAUUUUUGAGGGAGUUUCGAGCUUUAUUGCCGUUUUUGGUGAUUUUCUUGUAUUCCCUUGAAUUAUUAUACGCUGUUAACAAUGAUGAACGUGCUCUGUGCCGCAAGGCCAUUAAUAUAAUACAACUUUUAACAACGGAUCUCUUGGCUCUCGCAUCGAUGAAGAACGCAGCGAAAUGCGAUAAGUAAUGUGAAUUGCAGAAUUCAGUGAAUCAUCGAAUCUUUGAACGCACCUUGCGCUCCCUGGUAUUCCGGGGAGCACGCCUGUUCGAGUGUCGCGAAAUUUCUCAAGCUUGGAUGGCCUUUUUGUCUGUCCUUAGCCUUGGUUGUUGGGCUUUGCCGUGUCCUUUGUUGGGACGGCUGGCCUUAAAAGCAUUAGCUGAUCCUCGUGUGGCACUGGUUCUACUCAGCGUGAUAACAGUCUGAUCGCUGAGGACAUCUUUUGGGAUGGCCAGUUCUCAUUUGGGUUGCUUCCAAACUUGGUUUUGCAGAUUCUUCAAUCUGUGUUCCACUUUUCAGCUUUGACCUCGAAUCAGGUGGGACUACCCGCUGAACUUA
Molecule: ribosomal RNA, 568 nt
Filed under: uncultured fungus
Lineage: Eukaryota; Fungi
Description: eukaryotic LSU rRNA
Rfam family: 5.8S ribosomal RNA (bases 135-288)
Source: RNAcentral